This 499-nucleotide ribosomal RNA is filed under the name uncultured bacterium. RNAcentral's name for it is "bacterial SSU rRNA". It matches the Rfam family "Bacterial small subunit ribosomal RNA", at positions 28 to 517 of the family's 1533-position model. The record is from RNAcentral.
GACGGACGCUGGCGGCGUGGAUUAGGCAUGCAAGUCGAACGGUAGGAUACCUUCGGGUAUCUGAGAGUGGCGAACGGGUGAGUAACACGUAGGUGAUCUACCCUCAAGAUUGGGACAACCCAGGGAAACUUGGGCUAAUACCGGAUGAAAGCAGCAGUGAUGUUGUUUGAAAGGUGGCGUAAGCUGCCGUUUGGGGAUGAGCCUGCGCUCUAUUAGUUAGUUGGCGGGGUAAAGGCCCACCAAGGCGAUGAUAGAUAGGCGGCCUUAACGGGUGGUCGCCCACACUGGGAUUGAGAUACGGCCCAGACUCCUACGGGAGGCAGCAGUCGAGAAUAGUCUACAAUGGCCGAAAGGCUGAUAGUGCGACGCCGCGUGAACGAAGAAGCCCUUCGGGGUGUAAAGUUCUUUUAUAUGUGAGCAGUGCUUUCUAUGUGAACAGCAUGGGGAGAGAGAUAUUAGCAAUAUGAAUAAGCAACGGCUAACUCCGUGCCAGCAGCCG